Molecule: transfer-messenger RNA, 396 nt
Filed under: Acidobacteriota bacterium
Lineage: Bacteria; Pseudomonadati; Acidobacteriota
Also listed under: 1 other name
Description: Acidobacteria bacterium (rhizosphere metagenome) transfer-messenger RNA
Rfam family: transfer-messenger RNA
About the family: Bacterial tmRNA, also known as 10Sa RNA or SsrA, is named for its dual tRNA and mRNA-like properties.
Source: RNAcentral
GGGGGCGACAGGUCUCGACAGGGGCUUGGAUCGUCGGACGGAUGCAUGCCGGGCGUUCUAUGCGGCCCGUUAAUAAGCGUAGAAAAAAACAAAUGCGAACUCUAACGAGUUAGCUCUCGCGGCCUAGGUUAUCCUAGGAAGAUAGCGAGCGUCCCGCCGCCAGUUGCUCAAGCGAAGCGGGCCGGGGCGUAACACAGUUGAGCUGGUCAGGCGCGUGUGCUCAGGCGCGCCGGGCGAGAAAAAACUGGGCUAGCCGGACGCGGGGUCUUCGACGCUUCACUUACCCGCGGGCGGCGAACGCGCCGGAGCAAGACCGGCAAAGGAGAAGCGGCUAAGCAUGUAGAUUCCACCGGCGUCGGCCUUUGGACCCGAGUUCGAUUCUCGGCGCCUCCAUUC